GCGCAAAAGCAGCUGCUUUUGCGCAAAAGCAGCUGCUUUUGCGCAAAAGCAGCUGCUUUUGCGCAAAAGCAGCUGCUUUUGCGCAAAAGCAGCUGCUUUUGCGCAAAAACUUGC
Molecule: small nucleolar RNA, 114 nt
Filed under: Pelodiscus sinensis (Chinese soft-shelled turtle)
Lineage: Eukaryota; Metazoa; Chordata; Testudines; Trionychidae
Source: RNAcentral